Molecule: ribosomal RNA, 256 nt
Filed under: uncultured bacterium
Lineage: Bacteria
Description: partial 16S ribosomal RNA
Rfam family: Bacterial small subunit ribosomal RNA
Source: RNAcentral
UACGGGGGGAGCAAGCGUUGUUCGGAUUUACUGGGCGUAAAGGGCGCGUAGGCGGUCGUGACAAGUCACUUGUGAAAUCUCCGGGCUUAACUCGGAACGGUCAAGUGAUACUGUCGGACUAGAGUACAGAAGGGGCAACUGGAAUUCUCGGUGUAGCGGUGAAAUGCGUAGAUAUCAAGAGGAACACCUGAGGUGAAGACGGGUUGCUGGGCUGACACGUGACGCUGAGGCGCGAAAGCGUAGGGUAGCAAACGGG